Molecule: ribosomal RNA, 164 nt
Filed under: Secale cereale (rye)
Lineage: Eukaryota; Viridiplantae; Streptophyta; Magnoliopsida; Poales; Poaceae
Description: 5.8S ribosomal RNA
Rfam family: 5.8S ribosomal RNA
About the family: 5.8S ribosomal RNA (5.8S rRNA) is a component of the large subunit of the eukaryotic ribosome.
Source: RNAcentral
CUCUCGGCAACGGAUAUCUCGGCUCUCGCAUCGAUGAAGAACGUAGCGAAAUGCGAUACCUGGUGUGAAUUGCAGAAUCCCGCGAACCAUCGAGUCUUUGAACGCAAGUUGCGCCCGAGGCCACUCGGCCGAGGGCACGCCUGCCUGGGCGUCACGCCAAAACA